This is a transfer RNA of Ipomoea nil (Japanese morning glory), 93 nucleotides long. It matches the Rfam family "tRNA". From Rfam's summary of the family: Transfer RNA (tRNA) molecules are approximately 80 nucleotides in length. The record is from Rfam. Lineage: Eukaryota; Viridiplantae; Streptophyta; Magnoliopsida; Solanales; Convolvulaceae.
CCGACCUUAGCUCAGUUGGUAGAGCGGAGGACUGUAGUUUGAUUAAUCUAAGUUGAAAUCCUUAGGUCGCUGGUUUGAAUCCGGCAGGUCGGA